This is a long non-coding RNA of Scylla paramamosain (green mud crab), 357 nucleotides long. RefSeq lists it as uncharacterized. The transcript is spliced from 3 exons. NCBI's taxonomy places the organism in Eukaryota, Metazoa, Arthropoda, Malacostraca, Decapoda, Portunidae. The record is from RefSeq and is a predicted model, not a curated record.
AUCAACCUAAUGCCUACCAACACAUUCUCUGCAGCCAAUGCUACAGAUACCAACAGUGCAACGAUUAAUAAUGCAAAAAAUAUACAGAAAUUUCCUUUAACAUGAGAUGCUUAUGUUAGAAAAAUCCAGAAAAUCAGUACAAAGACCUGACAGCUUGUUGGCUUAAAACUGGUGCACACAACAGAACUCACAGGUGAAAGUAGCACCAAGGAUUUGCUGACAUGCCGAGCACAAGGUAGUAGAUGCCGGCCUACAGCACUGUCUCCACUGAGUAGGUGUGGGGCAGUGAGUCACUCGUAGUGCCACCUGAGGGGAUGAUGGGGGAGCUCCAGUUUUUGUUGAGUGGGGAGAGGACAA